Lactuca sativa (garden lettuce) is the source of this 582-nucleotide non-coding RNA. The record is from RefSeq and is a predicted model, not a curated record. NCBI's taxonomy places the organism in Eukaryota, Viridiplantae, Streptophyta, Magnoliopsida, Asterales, Asteraceae.
UCAAAACCAGGGUAACAUUCUCUUCUAUUUCUGGAAAGAAGUUCUAUCAUACCGUCUUCCCAAUUUAGCUUCAAUGGCUGCAUCUUGUUCAAUUCAGAGCAAAUGUAGAGUUUUUAUACUUAAUUCAGUAAUUAGGGAUCGCAUUUUACCUACAUAUGUCUAAAUUCAAGCAUUUUUGGGUAAAUUCUUCUUUGGAUUAACAUAUCGACUCAGGAUCUGCUGUUUUCUUCUCUCCUUGCGAUUUUGCAGAUUAUGCAGUACCACUACACCUAAUUUCGACCUCAGGCGGAUCAAAUUUAUUCGUUCCUAUUUCUCUUCGUUUAUGCGUGUUCAUAUAUACUAGAAUGGAUCCAUUAGUCCAUUUCGUUACUAAAAUUUGUCAAAUAUAAUUGACUAGGUGAGAGCCUUAAGGGAACAUGAAGCUGUUAGGUUAAUUCGUCGCUUGUGGAAAUCAUGGCUUUGUGUAAUGGAACCACUUUGAUAUUUGUUUUUUUUUUUUCAUUUAGAUCAAUCAAAUACUGUAUGAGAUUCAUAAUUUAAAUGUACAUAACAUACUUGAAGUUCAAGUUCACUUCAUUAGCA